AAAGUCGUAACAAGGUCUCCGUUGGUGAACCAGCGGAGGGAUCAUUACUGAGUUUACAACUCCCAACCCUUCUGUGAACCUACCCACCGUUGCUUCGGCGGAACGCCCCGGCUCUCCGAGCCCGGAACCAGGCGCCCGCCGGAGACCCCUAACCCUUCUGUAUUUUGAGCAUCAGCACCUACGUCUGAGUGGCAAAAGCAAAACAAAUCAAUUAAAACUUUUAACAACGGAUCUCUUGGCUCUG
Molecule: unclassified non-coding RNA, 244 nt
Filed under: Ascomycota sp.
Lineage: Eukaryota; Fungi; Ascomycota
Description: partial contains small subunit ribosomal RNA, internal transcribed spacer 1, and 5.8S ribosomal RNA
Rfam family: Eukaryotic small subunit ribosomal RNA (bases 1-47)
Source: RNAcentral